Molecule: RNA transcript, 1663 nt
Organism: Corvus hawaiiensis (hawaiian crow)
Lineage: Eukaryota; Metazoa; Chordata; Aves; Passeriformes; Corvidae
Exons: 4
Source: RefSeq, a predicted model, not a curated record
GUGAUUCUGAGAGAAAGCCGAGGCAAAGAAAGUUUGUUAAUCUUUUCCUAGUCCUGAACUCUGCAUUAAUCUGUUAAUCUUUUCCUAGUCCUGAACUCUGCGUUAGUCCCGAGGUCCCUUCCUGUCGCCUCCCCGGUGACUCACCGGAGGCUGUUAAAAAGUUUGCAGCGCUGCUUUCCUCAGCAGUGCCGGAGGCAGAGGAAUGUGCAGGUAACACAUUCCAGGUGUCCCUGAAAACAGGGCCAGCGCUAAGGCAGGGUUACAGGGAAAAUGCUGCUCACCAGGGAGAUGCUGCUCGCCAGGGAAAGGGCUCCGUGCGUCCACAACCCGGGUGCCAAGGGGCUGCUGAGCCCAUCAUCCCACCAGCAGGAAGGCAGGAAGGCUCCUUGGAUCCAACUGCAUCGGUAGGAUCAGAGCUCAUCCAUGCAGGAUGUGGAUAUUUGGGAUAUUCUCUUUGGUGACUGCACUCAUCAAACAGUGGCCAUCUGGUUGUCUCCUUGCAUGGGGAAUUAUUUCAACCACCAUUAAUGAAGCUGAAGUGUGAUUUCGAGGAGAAGAAGCGUUCCUGCUCAUUUCCUGGGGAGCUGCCGUGCCUGAAGUCAGCCGGGAUAAAUCGGGAUGUGCGGGAAGGGGCACACGGAGGUGGAACGUCGCAGUUUGCCCCGCGGUUUGUCCCGGCUCCCAGGCCAAGCUGAUGCCUUGAGAGGCCACCUCAAAACAGAGCCUGGACAGAAGUAAGGAAAUAAGAGCUGAAAUCCCAGGAGGGGUUGUGCCGGUUUGGGCUGGGGAGGGAGCCCAGAGUUGUUGAGUUUUGCUCACGGGAGCUGUUUUGGGUUCUGUGCUGAAGCCGGGGUCGUUCACAGCGAGGCGUUCUCGGUGCUGCUGAGCGGGGCCGCACAACCUCACGGCUUUUCCUGCUUCCAGCGGGACAGGAAAUGAGACUUUGGGACUGGACACAGCUGGGACAGGACACAUCCCUGGCCACGGGAAUGUUCAGCAGGCCACAUUUCCUAUCUCAGUGUCUCUUCCUCUCCCACGGGGACUCCCAAAUCUCUCCCCAUCCCGCUGCGGGGGAGCAGCCGUGUGGGGCUGCUGAGCUUCCAGCUGGGAUCCAUCCACUCCGGGAGUUUCUCAUCCGGAGCAGCGCAGGAUCAGAUCAUCCUUGGCUCUUUUUACCCCCAAACAUGUGAUGCCUGCUCCAGCCGCCUCCGGAUCAAGGCCAAAUCCCUCAGGUUGACAAACAGAGCCCCGCGGGCCUCCUUUGAACAAAGCCUCGUGAUCCCGUGCUGCCCUUUCCUUCCUGGAUCAGCGGUUUUUUUUGUCCCUGAUAACACCCAGAACGCGCCCUCCUUAAAGCCAGGCUGGAUUCUGGCGGGAGCAAUCCCAGCUCCUCAGGUGGGAAUGGCACAAAAUGGUGUUCUUUUGGGGCUAGAAGUGGAGGGAUUAAUAAGAAAUGUCAGCUUGGAAGGAGCUAAAAAUAAACCCUGAGUGUGCUGAGUCAUUCCCUGAUUUCCAUGAAUCGCUUUAGAGGCAGCUCUGGGACCUGCUGCCGUCCCUGCAGCAUCUGGGGCUGGCCAGUGGAGCAGGGCCAAGGUGGUGUCACCGAAUUCUGGGGAAUUCAGACCAUCGCUGGCUUUUUCAUUCCAAUUUCAAUUCCCUUUCC